RNAcentral lists this small RNA (2040 nucleotides) under Pan troglodytes (chimpanzee). RNAcentral describes it as "retained intron". The record is from RNAcentral. Lineage: Eukaryota; Metazoa; Chordata; Mammalia; Primates; Hominidae.
UUGUUGUUGUUUUGAGACAGUCUCACUGCAACCUCUGCCUCCCGGGUUCAAGCAGUUCUCUGCCUCAGCCUCCCAAGUAGCUGGGAUUACAGGCACCUGCCACCAUGACUGGCUAAUUUUUGUAUUUUUAGUAGAGUCAGGGCUUCACCAUUUGAACUCCUGACCUCGUGAUCCACCCUCCUUUGCCUCCCAAAGUGCUGGGAUUACAGGCAUGAGCCACUGCGCCUGGCCCAUAGAUUAAAUUCUUUGUGAGGCCAAGAUUGUAGCUUUGAUCUUCAUAUGGGGUGUUUAGAGGUAUUCCAUUUUGUGGCCACAAAGUAUAUUUGUAAUCCUAGCCGGCUAUCAUGAAUAUUUUAUUGGUCACAGGAAGAACCAGCUAAGAACAUAUGAAUAGAUCAGUGCAAUACUAUCAUCAUCCUGGAAUAACUUGAUGCUGUUAUAUUAAAAUCUUGUUAAUGGCUGUCAGUUUUGCAACCUAAACAAGUAACACACUGAAUUAUUGAUUUGCUUAUGUGUUAAUGGCACAUAAAGCAAUGAGCAUUAACGCUUGAAGUUUUUCGGUAGUAUCAUUUUUGUGUAUGGAGACUGUAUCUGCCAUUUUUUCACAAUAGGAAGGUUUGUUACUGUAUCUUCACAGAUGAUUGGUUAAGAUUGCUUUCCAAAGUCACAUUUAUUCUCACCUUCACAUGGUGUUUUAAUGAGCACUUAUGAAACUAAAUAUGAACCAUAAAGAGUGGAUUGCACUGAUUAAAUUGAGAGUAAUUAUGCAGUUUAAUCAGUUGGUAAUAUUGAAUCAUAUGUAUUUUUAUGUUUAGAGUACAGGAUUGUUUUAAAUUGUUCUUUUUGACAAGUUGAGAUUAGUAGUUUAUUGUCAAAUAGUAAAGAGAUAGCUAAUGAUUGUGAUAUACUGUAAUAAGAUCUAUCACUUUAUAUGAUACAUUAUAAGUUUCAAUUAUUUCAUUUUUGUCUGGCUAAAUCUCAUUUGCUUUCUCUCCAUGAGAUAUACUUGAGGCAGCAGAAAGAGCAGGUGGGAAGUUAAAGCAACUCAUUUAACUGGCCUUUAGGAAAGAAAAUGUUUAGAUUGACUCAAUUUUCUAGUUAUCUAUUCAUCUUAUUUAAAAUUCCAACCUGCUCUACUCCUUACUCAGGUCUGUUUUGUUUUAAUCACACUUAGUACCUUCUAACAUAGUAUAAAUAGUGAUUACGUUUGCCUGUCUCCCUUCCCCAUUCCUACCCUUGCUAGAAUGUAAGGUCCUUAAAGGCAGAGAUUCUAAUUUAAUCUUUUGUCUUCACUGUGUCCCAGAAGCCUAGAAUAGUUUUCAGCACAUAGUAGAUACCCAAUAAGGUUAAAUUAGUGGUCUCAAAUGCUAAUACAUUUUCAACCUUCUUAUAGAAAGAACAUACUGGUCGUCUUGUUAUAGGAGAUCACAAAUCAACAUCUCACUUCCGAACCGGGGAAGAAGACAAGAAAAUUAAUGAAGAACUGGAGUCUCAAUAUCAGCAAAGUAUGGACAGUAAAUUAUCAGGAAGAUAUCGGCGACAUUGUGGACUUGGCUUCAGUGAGGUAGAAGACCAUGAUGGAGAAGGUGAUGUGGCUGGAGAUGAUGAUGAUGACGAUGAUGAUUCACCUGAUCCUGAAAGUCCAGAUGAUUCUGAAAGCGAUUCAGAGUCAGAGAAAGAAGAAUCUGCUGAAGAACUCCAAGCUGCUGAGCACCCUGAUGAAGUGGAGGAUCCCAAAAACAAAAAAGAUGCAAAAAGCAAUUAUAAAAUGAUGUUUGUUAAAUCCAGUGGUUCAUAACUCCCAAAUGCUUAGUCUUUGUAUUAAAAGUAAGCCUUAUUGUUACAAUGCACAGUGGAGGACUGCUUAUAGAGCACAGACCUUUGUAUUAUAAUUUUUAAAAAGGCCCUUUUAAAUAAUUACAAAGAGUGUUUGCUUUCAAAUGCCAUGGGUUACACUUUUAUGGGCAUGACUAUAACCAUUUUUGUAAAGAGUAAGAGUUGUAUAAAAUAAGAAAUAAAUACAGUACUCAACUUCCUUUC